This 90-nucleotide microRNA precursor is filed under the name Columba livia (rock pigeon). Its description in RNAcentral is "microRNA cli-mir-103 precursor (cli-mir-103-2)". Its record names the gene cli-mir-103-2. The stretch from base 7 to 84 matches the Rfam family "mir-103/107 microRNA precursor family". From Rfam's summary of the family: This family consists of the mammalian microRNA (miRNA) precursors mir-103 and mir107. Lineage: Eukaryota; Metazoa; Chordata; Aves; Columbiformes; Columbidae. The record is from miRBase by way of RNAcentral.
UUAUCUUUGUGCUUUCAGCUUCUUUACAGUGCUGCCUUGUUGCGUUCAUGUCAAGCAGCAUUGUACAGGGCUAUGAAAGAGCAGAGACGA